CAGAGGGUAGUUUAACUU
This 18-nucleotide transfer RNA is filed under the name Salvelinus sp. Its description in RNAcentral is "partial tRNA-Pro". Lineage: Eukaryota; Metazoa; Chordata; Actinopteri; Salmoniformes; Salmonidae. The record is from RNAcentral.